This 73-nucleotide transfer RNA is filed under the name Neotoma lepida (desert woodrat). It matches the Rfam family "tRNA". Rfam says of the family: Transfer RNA (tRNA) molecules are approximately 80 nucleotides in length. Their secondary structure includes four short double-helical elements and three loops (D, anti-codon, and T loops). Lineage: Eukaryota; Metazoa; Chordata; Mammalia; Rodentia; Cricetidae. The record is from Rfam by way of RNAcentral.
GGUGAUGUAGCUCAGUGGGUAGAGGACUGAACUGGCACACCAGAGGACCUGGGUUUGACUCCCAGNCCUACCU